Molecule: long non-coding RNA, 560 nt
Filed under: Salvator merianae (Argentine black and white tegu)
Lineage: Eukaryota; Metazoa; Chordata; Lepidosauria; Squamata; Teiidae
Description: lncRNA (ENSSMRG00000001143.1)
Source: RNAcentral
CACUUCUGUUUCGUUUUCCCUCCAACAGCAGUUGCUGCAAAGCUGAAGCUAAAGACAAAUGCCUCCUACAGUGCCACUUCCACAGAUGACACACUUAUGACUCUUUCCAUAUUGGGAACUGAAUCACUGGGUGCCUGGUGGUAUAUACACUCUGAAAUGGGUGAAUGGAACUACNUCGCUUGGGGGAAACAAGACUGAAGGAGGGGUAACAUGACUGCACAUCUCAAGUACCCAGCUCGGAUGUCUGAACCUGUGGCCCUCUCGUACAGCUGCAGCCGGGGCUAGUCUGGAGAAACGCAAUUUGAGACUGCUGUUCUCUGAGAUGGAUUUUCUGAAAAAUGGGUAAAAUCCAGUUAGAAAGCAUUGUUUAUUCCUAAAGCUGCUUGAAGGUUCUAAUUGAUUGACACAUUAUGGGAGGCUGGGUAAAGCCAGUGAGUGACAAAACAGUAUGGCCAAUUGCAUUGUAUUGCUGAGUGGGUGGGGCAUAGGCUAGGCUACUUGGAAUUACUUGAGGCAGAAUAUGUAACACNUGUGCUAGAAAGAGAUUGGAGAAAGGAGAU